UACGUAGGGUGCGAGCGUUAAUCGGAAUUACUGGGCGUAAAGCGUGCGCAGGCGGAUGUUUAAGUUAGAAGUGAAAUCCCCGGGCUCAACCUGGGAACUGCUUUUAAGACUGGGCAUCUAGAGUUUGUCAGAGGGGGGUGGAAUUCCAAGUGUAGCAGUGAAAUGCGUAGAGAUUUGGAGGAACACCGAUGGCGAAGGCAGCCCCCUGGGAUAGAACUGACGCUCAUGUACGAAAGCGUGGGUAGCAAACAGG
RNAcentral lists this ribosomal RNA (253 nucleotides) under uncultured bacterium. Its description in RNAcentral is "partial 16S ribosomal RNA". It matches the Rfam family "Bacterial small subunit ribosomal RNA", at positions 524 to 776 of the family's 1533-position model. The record is from RNAcentral.